Long non-coding RNA from Homo sapiens (human), 907 nucleotides. RefSeq lists it as uncharacterized. The transcript has 2 exons. The record is from RefSeq and is a predicted model, not a curated record. Lineage: Eukaryota; Metazoa; Chordata; Mammalia; Primates; Hominidae.
GGGCGCUCCUCCCUGCCGCCUUGCAGUUUGAUCUCAGACUGCUGUGCUAGCAAUCAGCGAGACUCCGUGGGCGUAGGACCCUCCGAGCCAGGUGCAGAAUAUAAUCUCGUGGUGCGCCGUUUUUUAAGCCCGUCGGAAAAGCGCAGUAUUUGGGUGGGAGUGACCCGAUUUUCCAGGUGCUGUCUGUCACCCCUUUCUUUGACUCAGAAAGGGAACUCCCUGACCCCUUGCGCUUCCCAAGUGAGGCAGUGCCUUGCCCUGCUUCGGCUCGCACACGGUGCGCGCACCCACUGACCUGCACCCACUGUCUGGCACUCCCUAGUGAGAUGAACCCGGUACCUCAGAUGAAAAUGCAGAAAUCACCCGUCUUCUGCGUCGCUCACGCUGGGAGCUGUAGACCAGAGCUGUUCCUAUUCGGCCAUCUUGGCUCCUCCGGAUAGUGUUUAUUGAACUGGAGAGAAGGAGAGAUGGUGAGAAGAAACAUCAGAAGCAGUUGAGAGACUGAGAAGUGGGUUCUCUACUGAUGAAAAGGCAUUCUUCUGGAUGGCUGUUAAAAAAUGUUUCCUAGAGUCAUGUGCCUCAUUAACAACAGUUGUCGCCUUAGAAGUCUCUCUUUGAUUUGUUGAUUGUAUAAGCUGACACAAUUUCUUGUUAUGAAUGCAUGCUGUUCUAGUCCUUCAAUAAGCCCAUUAUAUAUUUUCACCAUGUCAUCUAUAGGCACUUUUUUCUACAGUGUUAACAAUGCCAGCUUCAUUGUCACUAUUGAUCAAAAUCACCUUGGUUCAGAAUUAUUUUGGCUAUCUCACCAUCAGUCAAGGAAUGAACAACUGAAGCCUCAUUACUGAUGUUAAAAACUUCAAUAUCUACUUUUUCUAGCUCACUGAUUAAAGUCAUAUUUUUGAAAAUA